CCCCUUCCGUAGGUGAACCUGCGGAAGGAUCAUUA
This 35-nucleotide ribosomal RNA is filed under the name Aspergillus tatenoi. Its description in RNAcentral is "partial 18S rRNA". Lineage: Eukaryota; Fungi; Ascomycota; Eurotiomycetes; Eurotiales; Aspergillaceae. The record is from RNAcentral.